UAGUAAGAAAUCGCAGACCACCGAAGAAUGACAAUAUGCAGAUAGGGCAUCAAGACCACCAUUUAAAAAUAGACUAAUAGAUAAUAAGAAGAAUUGCGCCAUUAGCAAAAAGUCCACAUAAGUUCACCGAAGUGUUAUUGAGUGUAAGAAUUAAUUAAUUUAUAGACAAAAAGUGACAAGUAAAAUUUAAAAUAACUAACCAGACAAAUCUACCCCAUAGCAUGUACCAAACAAUUAGAGUCAGGACAGUUAAAGUUAGCCGAAACACGAGAGACGAAACGAGAACAUUAUUGUAAGUCAAACAAAACUAGUUAAGAUACAAAUAAUCAACUAACUAAAUUCCAGUUCCCCCUGAUGAAGGCACCAUCCCUAAGUGCCGAAACGUUGGGUAGAUAAUAAACCCGUUUCAAGAAUAAAGACUGCGUAGCCACUAAAAGUUCAAAGUUAAGAAUUUCAGUCGAUCCUUGAAAGUAAUACUUACAAUGGCAGUUGCACAAUCUACAUUCUUCCGGUACAUUGACGAAAAUUUUGGACAUAACACGGUGGAAACUAUGAAAUCAUACGCUACAAACAACAAGAAAUUAGCGCAUCUUGAAAGCCGAAAAUCGUUCCUCGUCCAGUGUAGACGACAAGGUGUAUUUCCGAGGCACAUCAUCAACUCAUUCAAGUGUGUUCACGAGCUUCUGGCUGACAAUGGACCAUACAUCAAUAAAAUCGACCGCACCAUCAGAAGGUUCAAAAAGGCGAUUUUGAAUCUCGAAAUAAAACAGACGUUCCACAAAAUAAGGGAGACUACUAAAGAUAUGGACGGAAUAAUGGGCAACAUACGCUCACUCACAAGCGACAGCGUAGCCGAGGAAUACUCGACCACACAGCGAGCAGCGUACAAUAAAUGGCUAAGAAAGAAGGACGGGGAAACUGCUAGGAAGGUCACCAAAAUAGUACGAGAACUGAACGAUAACGGUACAGGAGAACCGUCUUAUAACGAACGAGCAAUCCUCAAUGCAACAGGCGUAGACAUCCCAGCAGAAACUCUCCACCUCCUCAGCCUAGGCCCGAAAUUCGCCCUGCCAACCACUUCGCCAUCCCAGGUUCCGUUCUACCAUUUCCUUGCAGACACGGAGCGCAUUCUGCUCACUAAUGGGGACCAAAAUGUGCAAAACCGAAAUCGAUGCAAAGUAGUGAAUGCAACGCAGAACUUCAUUCACGGCUUUCACUCUAUGGUAGAGCUCAGAGAUAGUACUACCACUUUCUGUGAACGGGCAACGAACACAACGAAGCAGUUCCUCCGUGCACACCCAGAAGUAUGCGUUCUAUCUGCCGACAAGGGGAAUAGGACGGUCAUCAUGCUGAGAGAGGACUAUGACCGAAAAAUGCAAGCAUUGGUCAACGACACGACUACCUACGAAAAGCUGCGCGCUGAUCCCACGACUCGGUUCCAAAAUGGGAACAAUAACAUAAUCAAGAGGCUCAAAGACCUACACCUCAUUGAUAACAGGACAGCGAACGAGCUGAAGGCCAACAACUCCAUCUGCCCUAGAAUCUAUGGACAGCCGAAGGCUCACAAACAAGACCUUCCACUCCGGCCGGUCAUACCAAACAUAACGGCACCCACAUACAAGCUAGCCAAAUACAUCGCAAACAUUCUGCAAAACUCGCUACACAGCCGAUAUAGCACGAGAAGCUCAUUCGAAUUUUGCGACGAAGUGAACAACAUCAAACUACCAGAAGGUUACAUCAUAAUCUCUCUUGAUGUAACUUCAUUGUUCACAAAUGUCCCACGAUGGUUAGUCACCAGGAACAUAAUACACAGAUGGAAUGAAAUCGACACCAACAUAAAUCUGGACCUAUUCCUGGAAAUUGUGGAGUUCGUUAUGGAGGCCAGCUACUUCUGCUACGAUGGGCAAUUCUAUAAGCAGACAUUCGGAACAGCAAUGGGCAGCCCACUCUCGCCCAUCCUGGCAGACAUAGUUCUAGAUUCGGUCAUCGAUGCAGCUAUGGAAUCUCUACCAUUCGAGAUCACCAUCUUCAAGAAAUAUGUGGACGACAUCUUCAUGGCGAUUCCUCAGAACACCGAACAACAGGUACUGGUAGCGUUCAACAAGGUAGAACCAAGACUGCAAUUCACCAUCGAAGCAGAAAACGAACGGAGGUUGCCAUUCCUAGAUAUGACCGUCAUCCGCAACCAGGACCAAACUCUAGCUACGGAAUGGUAUGCCAAGCCAAUCGCAUCGGGACGUAUGCUGAACUACAACUCCUUCCACCAACCGAAGCAUAAAAUAAACGUAGCGAACAAUUUCAUUCAUAGAGUUUGCUCGCUAACGCGAAAUAAAUCAAUGAAUGAAAUAGGGACGAUAAUUCACCAACAUCUGCUAAGGAACAACUAUCCCAAGCAACUCAUCAACCGGUUGUUAAACCUCUACAUAAACAAACGGAGGCAAAACAACGUAGAUGAAAUUCCAACAGCAUCGAUCACUGAACUCCCGAAUGAUGAUCCCAGCCAACCAUCGUGUCAGCCACCCAACCACCCACCCAGCCAACCAUCAUGUCAGCCACCCAACCUCCCACCCAGCCAACCAUCGUGUCAGCUACCCAGUCGCCCACCGAGCCAGCCAUUGUGCCAGCCACCCAACCAACUACCAGAUCAACCCACCAUAAACCACACUGUACCCCAGCAUAUCCCCCACCAAGACCUAACAUCACCAACAAACCACCAAACUGAAGACAGCAUACCCGAUCAUCACAUCACCAAUCCGAUGAGGCAUCCCACGCACGGCACCGAAGAUGAAACCGAAAAUCCACAUAGGCAAAACCAAACAGUAAGCACAACACAGCAACCAAUUUAUCGUUCCAUUCCAUACGUCCCAUCUCUCUCCGACCGUGUCACAAAAAUUCUGUCUAAGGAUUACCCAGAGAUCACUAUCGCCACACGACAACACAGAACUGUCAAAAACCUCCACUCCAAAAUCAAAUUCCCUGUAAAAAAAGACGAAAUUAGUAACAUUAUAUAUAAAAUACCUUGUAACGAUUGUGAUGCAUGUUACAUCGGUAUGACGAGGAACAAUUUGCGAAAACGAUUAACUGGACAUAGAGCUAAUGUAAACAAACUUGACAAAUUGAUGAACGAUGAAGAACAUACACACACAAAUGAAGCCCAAAUAGCACUAAUAGAAACCACCACAGCCCUAAUAGAACAUUGUAUAACACAGAACCACAGAUUUCAACUUGACCACACCAAUAUUAUAGACCAUAGCCAUAAACCUUCCACACUCCCAUUUCUUGAAAUGUGCCACAUCACUAACACAGAUAAAACGGUGAACAAACGGACAGACACUGAUGGACUCAAUACAACAUAUGCUGGUUUGUUGCACGACAUCAAGACUAUCUAUCGACAAGACAAAUCUAGUAAGAAAUCGCAGACCACCGAAGAAUGACAAUAUGCAGAUAGGGCAUCAAGACCACCAUUUAAAAAUAGACUAAUAGAUAAUAAGAAGAAUUGCGCCAUUAGCAAAAAGUCCACAUAAGUUCACCGAAGUGUUAUUGAGUGUAAGAAUUAAUUAAUUUAUAGACAAAAAGUGACAAGUAAAAUUUAAAAUAACUAACCAGACAAAUCUACCCCAUAGCAUGUACCAAACAAUUAGAGUCAGGACAGUUAAAGUUAGCCGAAACACGAGAGACGAAACGAGAACAUUAUUUUCCCCCUGAUGAAGGCACCAUCCCUAAGUGCCGAAACGUUGGGUAGAUAAUAAACCCGUUUCAAGAAUAAAGACUGCGUAGCCACUAAAAGUUCAAAGUUAAGAAUUUCAGUCGAUCCUUGAAAGUAA
RNA transcript from Aedes albopictus (Asian tiger mosquito), 3824 nucleotides. RefSeq lists it as uncharacterized. The transcript has 2 exons. Lineage: Eukaryota; Metazoa; Arthropoda; Insecta; Diptera; Culicidae. The record is from RefSeq and is a predicted model, not a curated record.